RNAcentral lists this long non-coding RNA (1575 nucleotides) under Podarcis lilfordi (Lilford's wall lizard). The record is from RNAcentral. Lineage: Eukaryota; Metazoa; Chordata; Lepidosauria; Squamata; Lacertidae.
CAAAAGGGUCCACAAGGGGCAGGCGGGCUCCUGCGAGCUAGUGGUGGGGUUCGGGGUUUUUUUGCCCACCGCCCCCCCCUCCCUUCUGUAUACCGUGACGUCCCAUUUCACUGCACGCUGAGAUUCACCUCCCCGAGAUGGGAUCCUGUGCGCGGUUUCCCCGGGAGUAAGUAAACGCAUAUUGGAUCGUUCUGUUCACCUCUCUGGUAAGAGUGAGAGCAACUCAGCUGCAAAGCUGAUUUUAAAAAUUCCUGUGAAGGAACCUGCUUCCUUCGCCUCCUGCACAGUGUCAUCACCGAUUUCUGACGUUGCGAAGGGUCGUUUUGCAUAUAUAUUAAGUACUGAUUGAAUUGUCACUGGCUGCACUUUGGCAUUUAAUUGCUGUUAACUGGAGAAUGACACUCCUUGCACCUGAUGGAGUUCAGUCUGGUCCACCGAAAAAUGUUAUACCAUGAUAAAAUUUGUUGGUGUUUAAGGUGCUGCAGCAAGACUGUUGUUUUUGUUCUACACCGUUAUGUAUGACAGAACCAAUGUUUGUAUAAAACCAUAACAGAAAGAAAUAAAUAUGAAAAGAACAACAUGUCUGCUGAAUAAAAUAAAUUGUCAGUUCUACUGUCAUCAUUCUCAUUAUUGGAGGUAGCCCCACCAUAUUGCCUUUGGAAGUGCUGGUGGCCUAGGGAGACUAUGGGAUGUAUUAAUAUAAUGAAUGGAAACCAUGUAACAGCGAAAUCAUCCCAUUUCGCUUUACCCUCAAUGACUCGCCUUUAUUGGAGCCAAUGUCCAGAUAACGCUAUGUCCUGAAUUGGGUUGUAUCAUCCCUCCUUUGUGGGCACAGAGCCACCCCCCCCCCCCCCAUGACUAGCUAGUUCCAGCCACACUGCAGCCAGUAGCAACAUCCUAGUGGUCCCGGGCCCUAAGGAAGUUAGAUUAGCUUCAACCAGAGCCAGGGCGUUUCCAACUCUGGCUCCAGCCUGGUGGAACGCUCUGUCUCAUGAGACCAGGGCCCUGUAGGAUCUGAUUUCUUUCCGCAGGGUCUGUAAGACAGAGUUGUUCCUCCUGGCCUUUCCUUUGGAGCCAAUUUGAUUCCCUCCCCCUCUUUCUUUUUUCUUUUUCCUUUCUCCUCCUGUGAUGAGGCUGCAUUUUAAUAUUUUAUUGUUUCAAUAUUUUAAUGUUGUAUUUUAAUUUUGUUUUUAAGUUGUAUUCAUUCAACUUAUUUUUAUUAUUGCUUGUUAGCCGCCCUGAGCCUGGCCUUGGCUGGGGAGGGUGGGGUAUAAAUAAAAAUUAUUAUUAUUAACAUUAUUACUAGCAGUUCCAGUCAGGAAGAGUGCUAGAAUCAGAUCUAAGUACAGCCUCAAUCAACUCACACAUGACCGCAUAUAUAUGUGGCACCAGGAAAUAAAUAAAUACAUUCAACUCCUGCAGAAUGCUGGAGAGUCCUAGUGGCUUGCAAGGAGACUGUCCCUGGAGCCCAAAGAGGGCAUCAGUGAGGGCAAAGGAAGCCCUGAAGAGACUGGAGGCACAGCGCGGCUUUGUUUAGGCUGCUCAGCCUCCUUGCCUAACAGCUGACGUGUGGGG